Molecule: ribosomal RNA, 503 nt
Filed under: uncultured bacterium
Lineage: Bacteria
Description: partial 16S ribosomal RNA
Rfam family: Bacterial small subunit ribosomal RNA
Source: RNAcentral
AUUGAACGCUGGCGGCAGGCUUAACACAUGCAAGUCGAGCGGGGUGAUGGUGCUUGCACUAUCACUUAGCGGCGGACGGGUGAGUAAUGCUUAGGAAUCUGCCUAUUAGUGGGGGACAACAUCUCGAAAGGGAUGCUAAUACCGCAUACGUCCUACGGGAGAAAGCAGGGGAUCACUUGUGACCUUGCGCUAAUAGAUGAGCCUAAGUCGGAUUAGCUAGUUGGUGGGGUAAAGGCCUACCAAGGCGACGAUCUGUAGCGGGUCUGAGAGGAUGAUCCGCCACACUGGGACUGAGACACGGCCCAGACUCCUACGGGAGGCAGCAGUGGGGAAUAUUGGACAAUGGGGGGAACCCUGAUCCAGCCAUGCCGCGUGUGUGAAGAGGGCCUUAUGGUUGUGAAGCACUUUAAGCGAGGAGGAGGCUCUUUUGGUUAAUACCCAAGAUGAGUGGACGUUACUCGCAGAAUAAGCACCGGCUAACUCUGUGCCAGCCGCCGCUGUAA